Small nucleolar RNA from Meriones unguiculatus (Mongolian gerbil), 140 nucleotides. Lineage: Eukaryota; Metazoa; Chordata; Mammalia; Rodentia; Muridae. The record is from Ensembl.
UGCCCUUGGCCAUGGACAAAGAGAUACCUAGUUGGUGGUAUUGUUCCUAUGUCAGUCAGGGGCAGAGCAGAUGGCGGUCCUUUGUUCAUCCUAGCUUGAUGCCUGGUUUGGUGGCCAAAGCUUAUGCCUAGGACACGUAA